UCGAUUCUCUCGAAAAUUAAUCAAGGGCAAUAACUUGAAUUCCUUUAUCGAUGAAUCCAACAGCACCGUCUUCAUCACAAAAACGGCCGACGAGUUCAUUUUCAAGGGCUACUCGGAUGUCGGAUCCCUUCCUGGACGCACAAGCUCAGCUGCCGCCAGGAUUGCUUGACAUUCCAUCGUACGACAAGUUCGGCUAGUUCUAUGGACGGAACGGGUCGGAGUCAUUUGAUGGCGUCUUCAAUAUAUUCACCGGUGUCGAUGACAUCAGAAAUUAACUCGACGUAAUGGACAUGUGGAACUACACCCGACAGACCAAGUAUUACGAAUCCUAUUGCGGAAUGGUUAACGGCUCGUUUGGCGAAGGAUGGCCGCCCAGAUCGACACCAGCAUCUCGAUGUACUCAUCUGAUCUUUGCCGGUCGAUUACCAUGGACUACAUGGAAGAUGUC
This is a long non-coding RNA of Daphnia pulex (common water flea), 448 nucleotides long. RefSeq lists it as uncharacterized. The record is from RefSeq and is a predicted model, not a curated record. Lineage: Eukaryota; Metazoa; Arthropoda; Branchiopoda; Diplostraca; Daphniidae. The transcript has 4 exons.